RNAcentral lists this ribosomal RNA (449 nucleotides) under uncultured bacterium. RNAcentral's name for it is "bacterial SSU rRNA". It matches the Rfam family "Bacterial small subunit ribosomal RNA", at positions 329 to 792 of the family's 1533-position model. The record is from RNAcentral.
GUCCAGACUCCUACGGGAGGCAGCGGUGGGGAAUAUUGGGCAAUGGGCGCAAGCCUGACCCAGCAACGCCGCGUGAAGGAAGAAGGCCCUCGGGUUGUAAACUUCUUUUAUUCGGGACGAAACAAAUGACGGUACCGAAUGAAUAAGCCACGGCUAACUACGUGCCAGCAGCCGCGGUAAUACGUAGGUGGCAAGCGUUAUCCGGAUUUACUGGGUGUAAAGGGCGUGUAGGCGGGAGAGCAAGUCAGACGUGAAAUUCCAGGGCUCAACCCUGGAACUGCGUUUGAAACUGUUCUUCUUGAGUGAUGGAGAGGCAGGCGGAAUUCCACGUGUAGCAGUGAAAUGCGUAGAUAUGUGGAAGAACACCGAUGGCGAAGGCAGCCUCCUGGGACGCAACUGACGCUCAUACACGAAAGCGUGGGGAGCAAACAGGAUUAGAUACCCUUGUA